UACGAAGGGGGCUAGCGUUGUUCGGAAUCACUGGGCGUAAAGGGCGCGUAGGCGGCCGAUCAAGUCGGGGGUGAAAGCCUGUGGCUUAACCACAGAAUGGCCUUCGAUACUGUUUGGCUUGAGACCGGAAGAGGUUAGUGGAACUGCGAGUGUAGAGGUGAAAUUCGUAGAUAUUCGCAAGAACACCAGUGGCGAAGGCGGCUGACUGGUCCGGUUCUGACGCUGAGUGCACGAAAGCGUGGGGAGCAAACAGG
This 254-nucleotide ribosomal RNA is filed under the name uncultured bacterium. RNAcentral describes it as "partial 16S ribosomal RNA". It matches the Rfam family "Bacterial small subunit ribosomal RNA", at positions 524 to 776 of the family's 1533-position model. The record is from RNAcentral.